GGGUUGUGAGGUUAAGCGACUAAGCGUACACGGUGGAUGCCCUGGCAGUCAGAGGCGAUGAAGGACGUGCUAAUCUGCGAUAAGCGCCGGUAAGGUGAUAUGAACCGUUAUAACCGGCGAUUUCCGAAUGGGGAAACCCAGUGUGACUCGUCACACUAUCAUUAACUGAAUCCAUAGGUUAAUGAGGCGAACCGGGGGAACUGAAACAUCUAAGUACCCCGAGGAAAAGAAAUCAACCGAGAUUCCCCCAGUAGCGGCGAGCGAACGGGGAGGAGCCCAGAGCCUGAAUCAGCAUGUGUGUUAGUGGAAGCGUCUGGAAAGGCGCGCGAUACAGGGUGACAGCCCCGUACACAAAAGCGCAUGUGCUGUGAGCUCGAUGAGUAGGGCGGGACACGUGGUAUCCUGUCUGAAUAUGGGGGGACCAUCCUCCAAGGCUAAAUACUCCUGACUGACCGAUAGUGAACCAGUACCGUGAGGGAAAGGCGAAAAGAACCCCGGCGAGGGGAGUGAAAAAGAACCUGAAACCGUGUACGUACAAGCAGUGGGAGCCUCUUUUAUGGGGUGACUGCGUACCUUUUGUAUAAUGGGUCAGCGACUUAUAUUCUGUAGCAAGGUUAACCGUAUAGGGGAGCCGGAGGGAAACCGAGUCUUAACCGGGCGUUAAGUUGCAGGGUAUAGACCCGAAACCCGGUGAUCUAGCCAUGGGCAGGUUGAAGGUUGGGUAACACUAACUGGAGGACCGAACCGACUAAUGUUGAAAAAUUAGCGGAUGACCUGUGGCUGGGGGUGAAAGGCCAAUCAAACCGGGAGAUAGCUGGUUCUCCCCGAAAGCUAUUUAGGUAGCGCCUCGUGAAUUCAUCUCCGGGGGUAGAGCACUGUUUCGGCUAGGGGGCCAUCCCGGCUUACCAACCCGAUGCAAACUGCGAAUACCGGAGAAUGUUAUCACGGGAGACACACGGCGGGUGCUAACGUCCGUCGUGAAGAGGGAAACAACCCAGACCGCCAGCUAAGGUCCCAAAGUCAUGGUUAAGUGGGAAACGAUGUGGGAAGGCCCAGACAGCCAGGAUGUUGGCUUAGAAGCAGCCAUCAUUUAAAGAAAGCGUAAUAGCUCACUGGUCGAGUCGGCCUGCGCGGAAGAUGUAACGGGGCUAAACCAUGCACCGAAGCUGCGGCAGCGACGCUGAUGCGUUGUUGGGUAGGGGAGCGUUCUGUAAGCCUGCGAAGGUGGCCUGUGAGGGUUGCUGGAGGUAUCAGAAGUGCGAAUGCUGACAUAAGUAACGAUAAAGCGGGUGAAAAGCCCGCUCGCCGGAAGACCAAGGGUUCCUGUCCAACGUUAAUCGGGGCAGGGUGAGUCGACCCCUAAGGCGAGGCCGAAAGGCGUAGUCGAUGGGAAACGGGUUAAUAUUCCCGUACUUGGUGUUACUGCGAAGGGGGGACGGAGAAGGCUAUGUUGGCCGGGCGACGGUUGUCCCGGUUUAAGCGUGUAGGUGUGUGUUCCAGGUAAAUCCGGUUCACUUUAACACUGAGGCGUGACGACGAGGCACUACGGUGCUGAAGCAACAAAUGCCCUGCUUCCAGGAAAAGCCUCUAAGCAUCAGGUAACAUCAAAUCGUACCCCAAACCGACACAGGUGGUCAGGUAGAGAAUACCAAGGCGCUUGAGAGAACUCGGGUGAAGGAACUAGGCAAAAUGGUGCCGUAACUUCGGGAGAAGGCACGCUGAUAUGUAGGUGAAGUGAUUUACUCAUGGAGCUGAAAUCAGUCGAAGAUACCAGCUGGCUGCAACUGUUUAUUAAAAACACAGCACUGUGCAAACACGAAAGUGGACGUAUACGGUGUGACGCCUGCCCGGUGCCGGAAGGUUAAUUGAUGGGGUCAGCGCAAGCGAAGCUCCUGAUCGAAGCCCCGGUAAACGGCGGCCGUAACUAUAACGGUCCUAAGGUAGCGAAAUUCCUUGUCGGGUAAGUUCCGACCUGCACGAAUGGCGUAAUGAUGGCCAGGCUGUCUCCACCCGAGACUCAGUGAAAUUGAACUCGCUGUGAAGAUGCAGUGUACCCGCGGCAAGACGGAAAGACCCCGUGAACCUUUACUAUAGCUUGACACUGAACAUUGAGCCUUGAUGUGUAGGAUAGGUGGGAGGCUUUGAAGCGUGGACGCCAGUCUGCGUGGAGCCGACCUUGAAAUACCACCCUUUAAUGUUUGAUGUUCUAACGUGGACCCGUAAUCCGGGUUGCGGACAGUGUCUGGUGGGUAGUUUGACUGGGGCGGUCUCCUCCUAAAGAGUAACGGAGGAGCACGAAGGUUGGCUAAUCCUGGUCGGACAUCAGGAGGUUAGUGCAAUGGCAUAAGCCAGCUUGACUGCGAGCGUGACGGCGCGAGCAGGUGCGAAAGCAGGUCAUAGUGAUCCGGUGGUUCUGAAUGGAAGGGCCAUCGCUCAACGGAUAAAAGGUACUCCGGGGAUAACAGGCUGAUACCGCCCAAGAGUUCAUAUCGACGGCGGUGUUUGGCACCUCGAUGUCGGCUCAUCACAUCCUGGGGCUGAAGUAGGUCCCAAGGGUAUGGCUGUUCGCCAUUUAAAGUGGUACGCGAGCUGGGUUUAGAACGUCGUGAGACAGUUCGGUCCCUAUCUGCCGUGGGCGCUGGAGAACUGAGGGGGGCUGCUCCUAGUACGAGAGGACCGGAGUGGACGCAUCACUGGUGUUCGGGUUGUCAUGCCAAUGGCACUGCCCGGUAGCUAAAUGCGGAAGAGAUAAGUGCUGAAAGCAUCUAAGCACGAAACUUGCCCCGAGAUGAGUUCUCCCUGAGACUUAGAGUCUCCUGAAGGAACGUUGAAGACGACGACGUUGAUAGGCCGGGUGUGUAAGCGCAGCGAUGCGUUGAGCUAACCGGUACUAAUGAACCGUGAGGCUUAACCUUACAACGCCGAAG
RNAcentral lists this ribosomal RNA (2927 nucleotides) under Salmonella enterica subsp. enterica serovar Saintpaul. RNAcentral's name for it is "23S ribosomal RNA". It matches the Rfam family "Bacterial large subunit ribosomal RNA". The record is from RNAcentral. Lineage: Bacteria; Pseudomonadati; Pseudomonadota; Gammaproteobacteria; Enterobacterales; Enterobacteriaceae.